GACGAACGCUGGCGGCGUGCCUAAUACAUGCAAGUAGAACGCUGAAGAGAGGAGCUUGCUCUUCUUGGAUGAGUUGCGAACGGGUGAGUAACGCGUAGGUAACCUGCCUUGUAGCGGGGGAUAACUAUUGGAAACGAUAGCUAAUACCGCAUAACAAUGGAUGACACAUGUCAUUUAUUUGAAAGGGGCAAUUGCUCCACUACAAGAUGGACCUGCGUUGUAUUAGCUAGUAGGUGAGGUAAUGGCUCACCUAGGCGACGAUACAUAGCCGACCUGGGAGGGUGAUCGGCCACACUGGGACUGAGACACGGCCCAGACUCCUACGGGAGGCAGCAGGAGGGAAGCUUCGGCAAUGGGGGCAACCCUGACCGAGCAACGCCGCGUGAGGGAAGAAGGUUGUCGGAUCGUAAAGCUCUGUUGUAAGUCAAGAACGGGUGUGAGAGUGGAAAGUUCACACUGUGACGGUAGCUUACCAGAAAGGGACGGCUAACUACGUG
Molecule: ribosomal RNA, 497 nt
Filed under: uncultured bacterium
Lineage: Bacteria
Description: partial 16S ribosomal RNA
Rfam family: Bacterial small subunit ribosomal RNA
Source: RNAcentral